This 397-nucleotide ribosomal RNA is filed under the name uncultured bacterium. Its description in RNAcentral is "partial 16S ribosomal RNA". It matches the Rfam family "Bacterial small subunit ribosomal RNA", at positions 523 to 918 of the family's 1533-position model. The record is from RNAcentral.
AUACGUAGGUGACAAGCGUUAUCCGGAUUUACUGGGCGUAAAGGGCGUGUAGGCGGUCUUGCAAGUCAGAAGUGAAAUUCCUGAGCUCAACUCGGGCGCUGCUUCUGAAACUGCAGGACUUGAGUGCUGGAGGGGAUAGCGGAAUUCCUAGUGGAGCGGUAAAAUGCGCAGAUAUUAGGAAGAGCACCGGUGGCGAAGGCGGCAAUCUGGACAGUAACUGACGCUGAGGCGCGAAAGCGUGGGGAGCAAACAGGAUUAGAUACCCUGGUAGUCCACGCCGUAAACGCUGAAUACUAGGUGUAGGGGGUAUCGACUCCCUCUGUGCCGCAGUUAACACAAUAAGUAUUCCGCCUGGGGAGUACGGCCGCAAGGUUGAAACUUAAAGGAAUUGACGGGG